AAAGAACUUUGAAGAGAGAGUUCAAGAGUACGUGAAACCGUUCAGGGGUAAACCUGCGAAACUCGAAUGAACGAACGGAGAGAUUCAUCGUCAUUCCUCGGCGUACGGACGCGCGCCUCGAUGCCUUCGGUCGUUUCACGGCCGUUGGCACGGGUCGCGUCCGUCGACGUCCGAGGACGGCGUGCACUUCUCUCUUAGUAAAUACAUCGCGACCCGUUCGAUGUCGGUCUAAGCGCCGUACGGGAGCCCCGUUGACCCUUCGCGGGGCCAGUGGGACCGCGACGGUGGCCGACCGGCCGUCGGACGGUAGUUCUGACGAAUCGCGCACGCGUUCUGUACGCGUCCGGCCCGACGCAAGUCAACGUCGUAUCAUACGUCUACGCCAUAGUGCGGACGUGUGUGCGGCGCGUCUGGUGUCGCAGCCGUGCUGUCUCGGACUGUGCGCGUCUCUGUCUGCGAUGAUUCAGUUUCGGGCACUCGCAGGACCCGUCUUGAAACACCGGACCAAA
Molecule: ribosomal RNA, 509 nt
Filed under: Spodoptera litura
Lineage: Eukaryota; Metazoa; Arthropoda; Insecta; Lepidoptera; Noctuidae
Description: eukaryotic LSU rRNA
Source: RNAcentral